Molecule: ribosomal RNA, 1431 nt
Filed under: uncultured organism
Description: SSU rRNA
Rfam family: Bacterial small subunit ribosomal RNA
Source: RNAcentral
UAGCUACAGGCUUAACACAUGCAAGUCCAUGGGCAGCAUGGUCUUAGCUUGCUAAGGCCGAUGGCGACCGGCGCACGGGUGAGUAACACGUAUCCAACCUGCCGUCUACUCUCGGACAGCCUUCUGAAAGGAAGAUUAAUACAAGAUGGCAUCAUGAGUCCGCAUGUUCACAUGAUUAAAGGUAUUCCGGUAGACGAUGGGGAUGCGUUCCAUUAGAUAGUAGGCGGGGUAACGGCCCACCUAGUCUUCGAUGGAUAGGGGUUCUGAGAGGAAGGUCCCCCACAUUGGAACUGAGACACGGUCCAAACUCCUACGGGAGGCAGCAGUGAGGAAUAUUGGUCAAUGGGCGAGAGCCUGAACCAGCCAAGUAGCGUGAAGGAUGACUGCCCUAUGGGUUGUAAACUUCUUUUAUAAAGGAAUAAAGUCGGGUAUGGAUACCCGUUUGCAUGUACUUUAUGAAUAAGGAUCGGCUAACUCCGUGCCAGCAGCCGCGGUAAUACGGAGGAUCCGAGCGUUAUCCGGAUUUAUUGGGUUUAAAGGGAGCGUAGAUGGAUGUUUAAGUCAGUUGUGAAAGUUUGCGGCUCAACCGUAAAAUUGCAGUUGAUACUGGAUAUCUUGAGUGCAGUUGAGGCAGGCGGAAUUCGUGGUGUAGCGGUGAAAUGCUUAGAUAUCACGAAGAACUCCGAUUGCGAAGGCAGCCUGCUAAGCUGCAACUGACAUUGAGGCUCGAAAGUGUGGGUAUCAAACAGGAUUAGAUACCCUGGUAGUCCACACGGUAAACGAUGAAUACUCGCUGUUUGCGAUAUACUGCAAGCGGCCAAGCGAAAGCGUUAAGUAUUCCACCUGGGGAGUACGCCGGCAACGGUGAAACUCAAAGGAAUUGACGGGGGCCCGCACAAGCGGAGGAACAUGUGGUUUAAUUCGAUGAUACGCGAGGAACCUUACCCGGGCUUAAAUUGCAGAUGAAUUACGGUGAAAGCCGUAAGCCGCAAGGCAUCUGUGAAGGUGCUGCAUGGUUGUCGUCAGCUCGUGCCGUGAGGUGUCGGCUUAAGUGCCAUAACGAGCGCAACCCUUGUUGUCAGUUACUAACAGGUUCCGCUGAGGACUCUGACAAGACUGCCAUCGUAAGAUGUGAGGAAGGUGGGGAUGACGUCAAAUCAGCACGGCCCUUACGUCCGGGGCUACACACGUGUUACAAUGGGGGGUACAGAGGGCCGCUACCACGCGAGUGGAUGCCAAUCCCCAAAACCUCUCUCAGUUCGGACUGGAGUCUGCAACCCGACUCCACGAAGCUGGAUUCGCUAGUAAUCGCGCAUCAGCCACGGCGCGGUGAAUACGUUCCCGGGCCUUGUACACACCGCCCGUCAAGCCAUGGGAGCCGGGGGUACCUGAAGUGCGUAACCGCGAGGAGCGCCCUAGGGUAAAACUGGA